UGCCGUGUGGUGUAAAGGUGCGCACAACGGAUUUUGGUUCCGUUGGAUUGGGUUCGAUUCCUAACACGGCAA
This 72-nucleotide transfer RNA is filed under the name Caudoviricetes sp. Its description in RNAcentral is "tRNA-Gln". It matches the Rfam family "tRNA". From Rfam's summary of the family: Transfer RNA (tRNA) molecules are approximately 80 nucleotides in length. Their secondary structure includes four short double-helical elements and three loops (D, anti-codon, and T loops). The record is from RNAcentral. Lineage: Duplodnaviria; Heunggongvirae; Uroviricota; Caudoviricetes.